Long non-coding RNA from Herpailurus yagouaroundi (jaguarundi), 257 nucleotides. RefSeq lists it as uncharacterized. Lineage: Eukaryota; Metazoa; Chordata; Mammalia; Carnivora; Felidae. The transcript has 3 exons. The record is from RefSeq and is a predicted model, not a curated record.
UGAGCUUUGUACAUUUGCUGGUGCCGUUUGGGGCAGAGGACUUUCUCGGAUUGCUCUGGAAUGAUGAAGAGGGUGUCUCUCGUCCAAGAACUGAAAUGAUACCUUCAGGUACUCGAAAUUCCAAAGGGUUCACAUGGAAUCACAAGUCAGCUGAAGGCUAACCGGUUACUUACGUGCCCUAACCUUGAGACAAAAGCGUCAGCACGGGACAUGAUGCUCAAAUUAUUCCUUUACAUCCUGUGGUCCUUCCAGUGAUG